Molecule: transfer RNA, 64 nt
Filed under: Eucnemidae sp. 4 ACP-2013
Lineage: Eukaryota; Metazoa; Arthropoda; Insecta; Coleoptera; Eucnemidae
Description: tRNA-Asn
Source: RNAcentral
UUUAAUUGAAACCAAAUAGAGGUAAUUCAUUGUUAAUGAAUAAAUUGAAUACUAAAUCCAAUUA